Molecule: ribosomal RNA, 440 nt
Filed under: uncultured bacterium
Lineage: Bacteria
Description: partial 16S ribosomal RNA
Rfam family: Bacterial small subunit ribosomal RNA
Source: RNAcentral
CCUACGGGAGGCUGCAGUAGGGAAUAUUGCUCAAUGGGGGAAACCCUGAAGCAGCAACGCCGCGUGGAGGAUGACGGUUUUCGGAUUGUAAACUCCUUUUGUUAGAGAAGAUAAUGACGGUAUGUAACGAAUAAGCACCGGCUAACUUCGUGCCAGCAGCCGCGGUCAUACGGCAGGUGCAAGCGUUACUCGGAAUCACUGGGCGUAAAGGGCGCGUAGGCGGGAUAGAAAGUCAGAUGUGAAAUCCUAGGGCUUAACCAUAGAACUGCAUUUGAAACUGUUAUUCUAGAGUAUGGGAGAGGUAGAUGGAAUUCGUGGUGUAGGGGUAAAAUCCGUAGAGAUCACGAAGAAUACUCAUUGCGAAGGCGACCUGCUAGAACAUGACUGACGCUGAUGCGCGAAAGCGUGGGGAGCAAACAGGAUUAGAUACCCGAGUAGUC